This 1357-nucleotide ribosomal RNA is filed under the name uncultured bacterium. Its description in RNAcentral is "bacterial SSU rRNA". It matches the Rfam family "Bacterial small subunit ribosomal RNA", at positions 8 to 1380 of the family's 1533-position model. The record is from RNAcentral.
AGAGUUUGAUCCUGGCUCAGGACGAACGCUGGCGGCGUGCUUAACACAUGCAAGUCGAACGGAAAGGCCCUUCGGGGUACUCGAGUGGCGAACGGGUGAGUAACACGUGGGUGAUCUGCCCUGCACUUUGGGAUAAGCCUGGGAAACUGGGUCUAAUACCGGAUAGGAUCAUGCUCUUCAUGGGGUGUGGUGGAAAGCUUUUGCGGUGUGGGAUGGGCCCGCGGCCUAUCAGCUUGUUGGUGGGGUAAUGGCCUACCAAGGCGACGACGGGUAGCCGGCCUGAGAGGGUGACCGGCCACACUGGGACUGAGAUACGGCCCAGACUCCUACGGGAGGCAGCAGUGGGGAAUAUUGCACAAUGGGCGCAAGCCUGAUGCAGCGACGCCGCGUGAGGGAUGACGGCCUUCGGGUUGUAAACCUCUUUCACCAGGGACGAAGCGCAAGUGACGGUACCUGGAGAAGAAGCACCGGCCAACUACGUGCCAGCAGCCGCGGUAAUACGUAGGGUGCGAGCGUUGUCCGGAAUUACUGGGCGUAAAGAGCUCGUAGGUGGUUUGUCGCGUUGUUCGUGAAAACUCACAACUCAAUUGUGGGCGUGCGGGCGAUACGGGCAGACUAGAGUACUGCAGGGGAGACUGGAAUUCCUGGUGUAGCGGUGGAAUGCGCAGAUAUCAGGAGGAACACCGGUGGCGAAGGCGGGUCUCUGGGCAGUAACUGACGCUGAGGAGCGAAAGCGUGGGGAGCGAACAGGAUUAGAUACCCUGGUAGUCCACGCCGUAAACGGUGGGUACUAGGUGUGGGUUCCUUCCUUGGGAUCCGUGCCGUAGCUAACGCAUUAAGUACCCCGCCUGGGGAGUACGGCCGCAAGGCUAAAACUCAAAGGAAUUGACGGGGGCCCGCACAAGCGGCGGAGCAUGUGGAUUAAUUCGAUGCAACGCGAAGAACCUUACCUGGGUUUGACAUGCACAGGACGCCGGCAGAGAUGUCGGUUCCCUUGUGGCCUGUGUGCAGGUGGUGCAUGGCUGUCGUCAGCUCGUGUCGUGAGAUGUUGGGUUAAGUCCCGCAACGAGCGCAACCCUUGUCCUAUGUUGCCAGCGGGUUAUGCCGGGGACUCGUAGGAGACUGCCGGGGUCAACUCGGAGGAAGGUGGGGAUGACGUCAAGUCAUCAUGCCCCUUAUGUCCAGGGCUUCACACAUGCUACAAUGGCCGGUACAAAGGGCUGCGAUGCCGUGAGGUGGAGCGAAUCCUUUCAAAGCCGGUCUCAGUUCGGAUCGGGGUCUGCAACUCGACCCCGUGAAGUCGGAGUCGCUAGUAAUCGCCAGAUCAGCAACGCUGCGGUGAAUACGUUCCCGGGCC